UUAAAUUAAAUUAUUAGGUUAAAUUAAUUAAAAGAUUAAAUGUUAAAUCAUUAAAUUAAAAAAAUUUGGCGGUAUUUUAAAAAAUUAGAGGAAUUUGUUAUGUAAAUGAUGAUACACGAUAAGAAAUACUUUAUAUUUAUUUAUGUAUUGCUGUUUAAAUUUAUUUAUUAAGUAAAUUUAAAAUUAUUUUGUGUAAUAUAAAUUCAAGUCAAAAUGUGGUAUUAUAAAGAAUUAAAUGAGUUACAAUUUUUUAUAUAUUAGAUUAAUAAAUUUAAAUUUAUUAUGAAAUAGGAUUUAAAAGUAAAAUGAUUAAAUUUUUUCAUUUGAAUAUUUUUUGAGAUAAGU
Molecule: ribosomal RNA, 345 nt
Filed under: Mischocyttarus lecointei lecointei
Lineage: Eukaryota; Metazoa; Arthropoda; Insecta; Hymenoptera; Vespidae
Description: partial 12S ribosomal RNA
Source: RNAcentral